AAACAGCAGCAGGCAUAUAACAAUUUUACAAAUGCUGUUAUAUGGACGGAGCUGUUAUACACAACAAAAACACUGUAGCACAGAAUUAAAGCGGCUCUGAUUUUCAAGAAUUAUAUUGCAUGAGUGUGUGUGUGUGUGUGUGUGUGUGUGUGUAAUACAAUCAAAUAUGUAUACGAUUAUGUCUUAAUUUAGAAAGAGAAGUAAAGCAAAGUUUCGGGCAAUGCCUGAGAUUUUGUCAUCUAACAACAACAAUACGCACAGGCACUGCAUAUGACUAUGAAUA
Long non-coding RNA from Drosophila navojoa, 283 nucleotides. The record is from RefSeq and is a predicted model, not a curated record. Lineage: Eukaryota; Metazoa; Arthropoda; Insecta; Diptera; Drosophilidae.